AGCUCCAAUAGCGUAUAUUAAAGUUGUUGCAGUUAAAAAGCUCGUAGUUGGAUCUCGGGAGCAGGCCGGCGGUCCGCCUCGCGGCGGGUUCUUCCCGUCCUCCCCCACCCGCCCGGUUUUCCCCCGGGCUCUUCCUUUAGUGGCUCCGGGUGGCCGGAACGUUUACUUUGAAAAAAUUAGAGUGUUCAAAGCAGGCAGUUCGCCUGAAUAAAUGGUGCAUGGAAUAAUGGAAUAGGACCUCGGUUCUAUUUUGUUGGUUUUCGGAACUUGAGGUAAUGAUUAAGAGGGACAGACGGGGGCAUUCGUAUUACACUGUUAGAGGUGAAAUUCUUGGAUCGGUGUAAGACGAACUACUGCGAAAGCAUUUGCCAAGAAUGUUUUCA
Molecule: ribosomal RNA, 383 nt
Filed under: marine Metazoa environmental sample
Lineage: Eukaryota; Metazoa
Description: SSU rRNA
Rfam family: Eukaryotic small subunit ribosomal RNA
Source: RNAcentral